ACAGCAGUCGCCGCGGUAAUACAGAGGGUGCGAGCGUUAAUCGGAUUUACUGGGCGUAAAGCGUGCGUAGGCGGCUUUUUAAGUCGGAUGUGAAAUCCCUGAGCUUAACUUAGGAAUUGCAUUCGAUACUGGGAAGCUAGAGUAUGGGAGAGGAUGGUAGAAUUCCAGGUGUAGCGGUGAAAUGCGUAGAGAUCUGGAGGAAUACCGAUGGCGAAGGCAGCCAUCUGGCCUAAUACUGACGCUGAGGUACGAAAGCAUGGGGAGCAAACAGGAUUAGAUACCCGUGUAGUCCCUGUCUCUUAUAC
RNAcentral lists this ribosomal RNA (305 nucleotides) under uncultured bacterium. RNAcentral describes it as "partial 16S ribosomal RNA". It matches the Rfam family "Bacterial small subunit ribosomal RNA", at positions 508 to 807 of the family's 1533-position model. The record is from RNAcentral.